GUCUUCAUCAUCAUCAUCAUCAGCUGCUGUUCGUGUUGAGAAGGCAACGAGCGAGUUCUUGAUAGGUCCUGAUUGGACGAUGAAUAUUGAUAUUUGUGAUACAAUCAAUUCUAACCAAUGGUUGGCAAAAGAUGUCGUCAAAGCUGUAAAAAAGAGGUUGCAGCACAAGAACCCCAAAGUUCAGCUACUCGCUUUAACACUUAUGGAGACAAUGGUGAAGAACUGUGGUGAUAAUGUGCAUUUUCAAAUUACUGAAAGAACUAUACUGCAAGACAUGGUCAAAAUUGUAAAGAAGAAGACUGAUAUGCAUGUGAGAGAUAAAGUGCUAGUACUACUGGACUCUUGGCAAGAAGCAUUUGGUGGCCCUGGAGGAAAGUAUCCCCAGUAUUAUUGGGCUUAUGAAGAAUUGAGGCGUGCUGGUGUUGAAUUUCCCAAGCGUUCAUUUGAUACAGCUCCUAUCUUUACUCCUCCUGUUACUCAUCCUGCACCAAGACAAGCGCAACCUGGUUAUGGAAUGCCAAACAAUUCCUCAACAAGACUUGACGAGGCAAUGGCAGCAGAUGUGGGAAACUUAAGCUUGUCCAGCAUAAAUUCUAUGAGGGAUGUUGCUGAUCUGUUGGCUGAUAUGCUACAAGCUGUGACCCCAGGCGAUCGUUUGGCUGUAAAGGAUGAAGUUAUAGCCGAUCUUGUUGAUCGGUGUCGCUCUAACCAGAAGAAGUUGAUGCAAAUGUUAACAACAACAGGGGAUGAAGAACUUCUUGCCCAGGGUCUUGAAUUGAAUGAUAACCUCCAAACUGUACUGGCUAAACAUGAUGCAAUAGCUUCUGGUUCUCCACUCCCAACUCAAGUCCCAAAUGACAACUUCUCUGCAAGAGAAAUGCAUGAUCCAAGCCUCAAACCUGUUGAAGUUAAGCCACCCAGUCCAAUAGCAGAUGUCAAACCUUCUGCGCCAGUUCUUGUAGCAACCGCAGGUCAAAUUGAUGAAGAGGAAGAUGAGGAAGAUGACUUUGCUCAACUAGCUCGAAGACAUUCAAAAACAAGUCCAGCAGCACAAACAAGUGAAGGAAUGGUCUCUGCCAAUGCUAGCAAUUCUACGGGAGAACCAUUGGAUCCUGUUGCAAGCAAUGCAUUAAUUCUUCGUGACCCACCUGCAACAUCCACGAAAGAACAAGACAUAAUUGACCUCUUGAGCCUCACCUUGUCAUCAAGUGUUUAUCCCGAAACAUCACAAAAUUCUGCUUCAGCUACUCAAAACACGCAUCAGGAGCCUCUUGCCUCAACCACACAUGGAAAUCCAUAUGCAUCUCAAGCUUAUAUUGGGUAUCAGGAUCAGAGCUUUAACAGUUAUGUAGCUCCUUGGGCUCAGCCCCAACCCCAGCAUCAGUCACCACCCCAGUUUCAUCCUCAAUAUCAACACCAAGGCCAACCUCAGUUUCAUCCUCAAUUUCAACACCCAACCCAAGCCCAGGUCCAGUCCCAACCUCAACCUCAUCCACAGCAACAACCUCAAUCACAACUUCAUCA
Molecule: unclassified non-coding RNA, 1524 nt
Filed under: Hevea brasiliensis (rubber tree)
Lineage: Eukaryota; Viridiplantae; Streptophyta; Magnoliopsida; Malpighiales; Euphorbiaceae
Source: RNAcentral